UAAAAUAGAAAAAUAUUGAAAAUAAAUUAGUCUUCUUGUUCGCAGGAAAGAAAGACCGUUAUUUUAGGUGUCUUUGUGUUAUUUAUUGUACUACUAUCAGCCUGCAAUUACCGAGCAACUCGCGUCAUGGGGAACGCUAUAAUGGCCUCUUUAUUGGUAGCGGGAAUUACAUCCACGUUUCUCACUCACAUUCUCGUCUAUUUCCGUCUAGGGACUCCUCGUUUUCAACGGGCUCUUGGUGUACUACAUGUCAUCUUUUAAUUCGUUCAC
RNAcentral lists this long non-coding RNA (270 nucleotides) under Ananas comosus (pineapple). RNAcentral describes it as "long non-coding RNA (ACOM_LNC031767)". Lineage: Eukaryota; Viridiplantae; Streptophyta; Magnoliopsida; Poales; Bromeliaceae. The record is from RNAcentral.